This 477-nucleotide ribosomal RNA is filed under the name uncultured organism. Its description in RNAcentral is "partial 16S ribosomal RNA". It matches the Rfam family "Bacterial small subunit ribosomal RNA", at positions 332 to 801 of the family's 1533-position model. The record is from RNAcentral.
UACACUCCUACGGGAGGCAGCAGUAGGGAAUCUUCCACAAUGGGUGCAAACCUGAUGGAGCAAUGCCGCGUGAGUGAAGAAGGUCUUCGGAUCGUAAAGCUCUGUUGUUAGAGAAGAACACGUGCUAGGUAACUACUAGCGCCUUGACGGUAUCUAACCAGAAAGUCACGGCUAACUACGUGCCAGCAGCCGCGGUAAUACGUAGGUGACAAGCGUUGUCCGGAUUUAUUGGGCGUAAAGGGAGCGCAGGCGGUCUGUUUAGUCUAAUGUGAAAGCCCACGGCUUAACCGUGGAACGGCAUUGGAAACUGACAGACUUGAAUGUAGAAGAGGAAAAUGGAAUUCCAAGUGUAGCGGUGGAAUGCGUAGAUAUUUGGAGGAACACCAGUGGCGAAGGCGAUUUUCUGGUCUAACAUUGACGCUGAGGCUCGAAAGCGUGGGGAGCGAACAGGAUUAGAAACCCGGGUAGUCCCAUGAU